Long non-coding RNA from Pogoniulus pusillus (Red-fronted tinkerbird), 1260 nucleotides. RefSeq lists it as uncharacterized. The record is from RefSeq and is a predicted model, not a curated record. Lineage: Eukaryota; Metazoa; Chordata; Aves; Piciformes; Lybiidae. The transcript is spliced from 3 exons.
GGACACCACUAGAUCACUUUUUCCCUCCCAGGGUGAGAUGUGUUUUUAUUGUGGGGUUUGCUAUUGACUUUCUGUUGGUUUGGUUUUCAUUUAAGGUGUGUGUUGAUUACAGCUCAUACGAGAGAAUGAUGUGGCCCUGAUUUGUGCAAGCUGGGAGCACUGAUGUCCACGGUGCUGCUGUCAGCAGUCACAGUCUGGGAGCACUGCUAUCAAGACCAUCUAAUUAUACAUGUUCAUGAAGAAUGGUGUUUGGCAUUCUGAGGGAGAAAAUAUCUUUUUUCAUACUGUGCAUACAUACUUCUGGAACAAGAUGGGCUCAGCCAUUCAGAAAAGCUCCAUCCACCCUCUUCUUGCUGUUCCUGCAUACAGACUGCUGUUGUGUGGUGACUCCUGUUGACACUUGUGUGGUCCUAGAAAGAGCUUAACAUCUCAGGCUUAACAGCUGUUGUGCCACAAACUUCAGCAAUGUCCUCCUCAACUUCUGUCCACCAGGAUCCAAGCUGCUGAAAUGAGGUUUAAGGCAAAAUGAAUGUUCCAGCCAGGAGGAUGCUCUGGAAAUGUCACUGCUUCCCCAGGAAGAGGCUUGCCUGAGAGUUCCGUCAAUUACAGACCAUGCGCCUGGCAAGAAAGGCCUUGGCCAGCUCUGCUUUGUGUCAGCCAUUGGGGUGCUGCCACUGAAGGUGUGGCAUGGCAGUGGCUGUUCAAAUGCAGCUGCUGCAGAAGCUGGGUGGAAGGACACCACCUCCCUGUCCUCUGAUAGGGAGCUCCAGGAACUGGCUGCCACUGAGCAGGUUUCAGGUCUGCAGCACAGCUCCUCAGACUUCUGUUUCCCUGCUGAAAGAGUCAGAUGCAGCUGCAUGUUGACAGGAUUCUCAGAUGCAGUCUUUUUGCACAUUAAGAUUCCUAAAGCCUGCACCAACUUCAGCGAGCUCCUUUCAGUCACAGGGUUGAAUUUGUGCUGUGAAGCUGCCUUGAUGUUAUCAAUAUUUUAAGGCAACAUCGGAUUUCAAAUUGUGUCUCUCUUGGCUGUAUUGAAAAGAAUGGGAUCCAGACAGACAGAAAGUUGUCAUUAGUUUCCAAAAUGCUUUCAGGGAGACAAAUAUAUGUUAGAAAAUAAUUAGGAGCGUAAUUAGAAAGGAGCUCUGCAGAAGAGAGUUGUAUUUAUUAUUUAAAGCCAUAAGUAGUAUGGCAAUAGCAGUUUCUGCCAAGAACACAUGGCUAUUGCCUAUUAAUGCAAUUAAAAUUACAUCAGGCUGCUAA